GAGCGGCUGCUGUGGGCGCGGCUGACGGUCUUCGCGGGGCUGUUCGACCUGGAGGCGGCGGAGUACGUCUGCUCGGGCCCGGAGCUGCCCGCC
Molecule: transfer RNA, 93 nt
Filed under: Streptomyces netropsis
Lineage: Bacteria; Bacillati; Actinomycetota; Actinomycetes; Kitasatosporales; Streptomycetaceae
Description: tRNA-Ala
Source: RNAcentral